GACGAACGCUGGCGGCGUGCUUAACACAUGCAAGUCGAACGGAAAGGCCCUGCUUUUGUGGGGUGCUCGAGUGGCGAACGGGUGAGUAACACGUGAGUAACCUGCCCUUGACUUUGGGAUAACUUCAGGAAACUGGGGCUAAUACCGGAUAGGAGCUCCUGCUGCAUGGUGGGGGUUGGAAAGUUUCGGCGGUUGGGGAUGGACUCGCGGCUUAUCAGCUUGUUGGUGGGGUAGUGGCUUACCAAGGCUUUGACGGGUAGCAGGCCUGAGAGGGUGACCGGCCACAUUGGGAUUGAGAUACGGCCCAGACUCCUACGGGAGGCAGCAGUGGGGAAUAUUGCACAAUGGGCGGAAGCCUGAUGCAGCAACGCCGCGUGCGGGAUGACGGCCUUCGGGUUGUAAACCGCUUUCGCCUGUGACGAAGCGUGAGUGACGGUAAUGGGUAAAGAAGCACCGGCUAACUACGUG
Molecule: ribosomal RNA, 468 nt
Filed under: uncultured bacterium
Lineage: Bacteria
Description: partial 16S ribosomal RNA
Rfam family: Bacterial small subunit ribosomal RNA
Source: RNAcentral